This is a long non-coding RNA of Megalobrama amblycephala (Wuchang bream), 1432 nucleotides long. RefSeq lists it as uncharacterized. NCBI's taxonomy places the organism in Eukaryota, Metazoa, Chordata, Actinopteri, Cypriniformes, Xenocyprididae. The record is from RefSeq and is a predicted model, not a curated record. The transcript has 3 exons.
GUCAUGUACAAGACGGUAUGAGAUUAAAUAAUAACAAUGCCACAUUAUUUAGUGGUGCCAGUAAUGACAGUAAUGUGCACCCUGCAGGUACUGAGUGGCGGGCAGCCAACAACGCAGCGUCUCCUGAACCCCCUAGAGAUCUUUCCACAACAGGAUCUACAUUCUCUGCAAGGCACCAUGUUCUUUUCUGGCCAUCUCAGGAUGGCGUGUAUGCUCAACAGCACUGAGGAGAUUUAAGCUACUGUGGUUGAAGCAAAGACAGACAUGUUUGAAUUCACCCACAAGGGACGUUUCUGGGAAUACCAGCAGAUUCAAGACAGUAGUCUCCAGGUUCAUGUAUUACAUGGACCCCAAUGAGCCGAUCCUGAAUUUUGUGUGAGUCAGAGACAGAACACCCAACUGCCCUCCCACGACCCUUAUCUUAAUUUGGCCCUGACAUCUGCAGAGGAAGAGGCCCUUAUUUCUUUUAUUUUUUUGGAUGGCAGAUCCCAAUUACAAGAUCCAUAGUAAAAGCACUUGCUAUUGGAAUCAAAGAGAGUGGAAGAUCCGAGAGCACCACUGUAAAUCUGAGAAGGGGCCAAGUGAUGUCUGGUGGUCCAGGUUCAAGCCCGCCAUCCUGAAUUGACCUCACAGGUGGCAGAUUCCCAGGACAGAGCUAAAGUUCAUGGUGCUACACCAGAGGCCAUUGAAGGUUUCUUCAACCUGUAUGAGGCCCUCUAUGUGAAGCACAGUUUGGAGGACAAGCCACUGCUCAUCUACAACUGUGAUGAGACUGGCUUUGGAGACGAGCCUCUGUCCAGGGAGAAGGUCCUGUGACAGACUGGGAGAAAAAACCCCAUCUACCAACAGCAGAUAACCAGGCAGCACAUCACUGCACUGCUGUGUGAAUGCCUCCCAAGCAAUGCCUAUAGGCUGGAUAUCGACAGAGGCUGUGCUCUCUGCCUUAGAGUGAUCCCACCUGGCUCAGAAGAUGAGGCCAUUGACAAAUGGGUCCAGUGUGAUUUGUGCCAUUUGUGGUUCCACUUAAAGAGUGCGCAGCUUUAAUAUAUCCAAUUAUACUAGCCUGGGUAAAUGUCUCCAUUUCAAUAGCCUGGCAAGAGAGUGAGGGCCUCUCUGGGCUCGAUUGCUCCUGUCUGCCUCUCUGCCUCGCUGCCUUGAGUGAACUGCUGCCUGCUGCCUGACCUACGCUUCCCGCACAUCACCCUUGCCCCAGGCACCGGCAAGCGACCGAGACAUCCAGCUAGCGAGUCCCGUGUGCGAUGCAGUUUUUCGGACGGCGAGGGGAGUCAGACUACUCUACAAAAACACGGUCAGUCAUGUCCGACGAUUAUCAUGUGUAUUAAAUGCAACAUGUAUAGCUUAGCUCUUUCUGUCAGCAGUGAGACUUACACAUGUGAUAAAUGCAGGGAUAUUGUCAGGCUGACAGAGAGAA